This is a long non-coding RNA of Spodoptera frugiperda (fall armyworm), 286 nucleotides long. RefSeq lists it as uncharacterized. The record is from RefSeq and is a predicted model, not a curated record. NCBI's taxonomy places the organism in Eukaryota, Metazoa, Arthropoda, Insecta, Lepidoptera, Noctuidae. The transcript is spliced from 4 exons.
UACUUCCCUGAUCGCGGUGUCGUGAGAGAAAAUUAAAAAAGAAUAAACUUUUGAAUGGGGGAAAAGAAAAUUUCGUAAACUUUCGUAUUGUCAUCUUAGUUAAGUGAUAAGUAAAGUCACCAUCAAUUAAAAAGGAGACAGACUAGUAUGUUAUGCUUGUAAUUAUUACGUCGAUUAAUGAAGACAAAACGUGCGUUCAUUGCUAACAAAUUGAAAUUGUGGUAACUUAACACGCCUUGGUUGCAGUAUAGAUAGAGCCAUUGCAUGCAUACCUACCAUGAGUUCA